UGUGUCCCUUGUGUGUCAAUAGGUGGCAGAGAGGAGAGAAUCUAUGUCUACCCUCAGUUCUGAGCUUUGUACAUCUGAAUGAUUAGUAGCCUAACAUU
This is a small nucleolar RNA of Rattus norvegicus (Norway rat), 98 nucleotides long. Ensembl annotates it as small nucleolar RNA SNORA17. Lineage: Eukaryota; Metazoa; Chordata; Mammalia; Rodentia; Muridae. The record is from Ensembl.